ACAGAACACAAGAGGGACCUACAUGUGCUCAAAGCACACGAAUACUAGAAAAUUCACUCAAAAUGUGGUUAAGAUGAUGUGGGGUAGGGACCAAAGACAGGGUUACCAAUGGUGAUUCUAAUCCUGUAUAAAAAUGGCCUGAAACUGGACACCUGGCCAUCUGAAAGGGAUAAGAAGUGAAGGACAUAUCUGGGUGGGGACCAAAAAGGGCAAUAGGGGAUAGGAAAAUACUCUCAAG
This is a non-coding RNA of Pelobates cultripes (western spadefoot toad), 238 nucleotides long. The record is from the annotation of a GenBank genome assembly. NCBI's taxonomy places the organism in Eukaryota, Metazoa, Chordata, Amphibia, Anura, Pelobatidae.